RNAcentral lists this ribosomal RNA (1055 nucleotides) under Staphylococcus sp. Its description in RNAcentral is "bacterial SSU rRNA". It matches the Rfam family "Bacterial small subunit ribosomal RNA", at positions 62 to 1097 of the family's 1533-position model. Lineage: Bacteria; Bacillati; Bacillota; Bacilli; Caryophanales; Staphylococcaceae. The record is from RNAcentral.
UCGAGCGAACAGACGAGGAGCUUGCUCCUCUGACGUUAGCGGCGGACGGGUGAGUAACACGUGGAUAACCUACCUAUAAGACUGGGAUAACUUCGGGAAACCGGAGCUAAUACCGGAUAACAUGUUGAACCGCAUGGUUCAACAGUGAAAGACGGUCUUGCUGUCACUUAUAGAUGGAUCCGCGCCGCAUUAGCUAGUUGGUAAGGUAACGGCUUACCAAGGCAACGAUGCGUAGCCGACCUGAGAGGGUGAUCGGCCACACUGGAACUGAGACACGGUCCAGACUCCUACGGGAGGCAGCAGUAGGGAAUCUUCCGCAAUGGGCGAAAGCCUGACGGAGCAACGCCGCGUGAGUGAAGAAGGUCUUCGGAUCGUAAAACUCUGUUAUUAGGGAAGAACAAAUGUGUAAGUAACUAUGCACGUCUUGACGGUACCUAAUCAGAAAGCCACGGCUAACUACGUGCCAGCAGCCGCGGUAAUACGUAGGUGGCAAGCGUUAUCCGGAAUUAUUGGGCGUAAAGCGCGCGUAGGCGGUUUUUUAAGUCUGAUGUGAAAGCCCACGGCUCAACCGUGGAGGGUCAUUGGAAACUGGAAAACUUGAGUGCAGAAGAGGAAAGUGGAAUUCCAUGUGUAGCGGUGAAAUGCGCAGAGAUAUGGAGGAACACCAGUGGCGAAGGCGACUUUCUGGUCUGUAACUGACGCUGAUGUGCGAAAGCGUGGGGAUCAAACAGGAUUAGAUACCCUGGUAGUCCACGCCGUAAACGAUGAGUGCUAAGUGUUAGGGGGUUUCCGCCCCUUAGUGCUGCAGCUAACGCAUUAAGCACUCCGCCUGGGGAGUACGACCGCAAGGUUGAAACUCAAAGGAAUUGACGGGGACCCGCACAAGCGGUGGAGCAUGUGGUUUAAUUCGAAGCAACGCGAAGAACCCUUACCAAAUCUUGACAUCCUCUGACCCCUCUAGAGAUAGAGUUUUCCCCUUCGGGGGACAGAGUGACAGGUGGUGCAUGUGUCGUCAGCUCGUGUCGUGAGAUGUUGGGGUCAGGUCCCGCACGAGC